GUCUCGGAUAGCUCAAGGGAAAAGCAGUUGGCGCGAUACCAAAAGAUCCAAGUUCGAGUCCUGGUCUGGGCC
This 72-nucleotide transfer RNA is filed under the name Cotesia glomerata. RNAcentral describes it as "tRNA-Ser". The record is from RNAcentral. Lineage: Eukaryota; Metazoa; Arthropoda; Insecta; Hymenoptera; Braconidae.